AAUAGAUACCCCGGUAGUCCCAGCCGUAAACGAUGAGCACUGGGUUGGGGGCCCACCGACGGGCUCCCAGCCGAAGGGAAACCGUGAAGUGCUCCGCCUGGGGAGUAUGGCCGCAAGGCUGAAACUCAAAGGAAUUGACGGGGGGCUCACACAAGCGGUGGAGCAUGUGGCUUAAUUCGAGGCUACGCGAAAAACCUUAUCCCGGGCUUGACACGCGAGGAUUAGUCGGCGGAAACGUCGGCGACGCCGCAAGGUGGAACUCGCGCAGGUGCUGCAUGGCUGUCGUCAGCUCGUGCCGUGAGGUGUUGGGUUAAGUCCCGUAACGAGCGAAACCCCUGCGACCAGUUGCCAGCGCGUCAUGGCGGGGACUCUGGUCGGACCGCCGGCGUCAAGCCGGAGGAAGGCGGGGACGACGUCAAGGUCAUCAUGGCCCUUAUGCCCGGGGCCGCACACGUGCUACAAUGGGGCGGACAAAGCGUCGCCAGGCCGCGAGGCCAAGCCAAUCGCAAAAACCGCCCCUCAGUUCGGAUUGCGGGCUGCAACCCGCCCGCA
This 552-nucleotide ribosomal RNA is filed under the name uncultured bacterium. RNAcentral's name for it is "bacterial SSU rRNA". It matches the Rfam family "Bacterial small subunit ribosomal RNA", at positions 777 to 1320 of the family's 1533-position model. The record is from RNAcentral.